AGUGAACGCUGGCGGUAGGCCUAACACAUGCAAGUCGAACGGCAGCACAGUAAGAGCUUGCUCUUACGGGUGGCGAGUGGCGGACGGGUGAGGAAUACAUCGGAAUCUACUUUUUCGUGGGGGAUAACGUAGGGAAACUUACGCUAAUACCGCAUACGACCUACGGGUGAAAGCAGGGGAUCUUCGGACCUUGCGCGAUUGAAUGAGCCGAUGUCGGAUUAGCUAGUUGGCGGGGUAAAGGCCCACCAAGGCGACGAUCCGUAGCUGGUCUGAGAGGAUGAUCAGCCACACUGGAACCGAGAACCGGUCCAGACUCCUACGGGAGGCAGCAGUGGGGAAUAUUGGACAAUGGGCGCAAGCCUGAUCCAGCCAUACCGCGUGGGUGAAGAAGGCCUUCGGGUUGUAAAGCCCUUUUGUUGGGAAAGAAAAGCAGCAGGUUAAUACCCCGCUGUUCUGACGGUACCCAAAGAAUAAGCACCGGCUAACUUCGUG
This 492-nucleotide ribosomal RNA is filed under the name uncultured bacterium. RNAcentral's name for it is "partial 16S ribosomal RNA". It matches the Rfam family "Bacterial small subunit ribosomal RNA", at positions 29 to 507 of the family's 1533-position model. The record is from RNAcentral.